RNAcentral lists this ribosomal RNA (253 nucleotides) under uncultured bacterium. RNAcentral describes it as "partial 16S ribosomal RNA". It matches the Rfam family "Bacterial small subunit ribosomal RNA", at positions 524 to 776 of the family's 1533-position model. The record is from RNAcentral.
UACGUAGGGGGCAAGCGUUAUCCGGAUUUACUGGGUGUAAAGGGCGUGUAGGCGGGACUGCAAGUCAGAUGUGAAACCCAUGGGCUCAACCCAUGGCCUGCAUUUGAAACUGUAGUUCUUGAGUGAUGGAGAGGCAGGCGGAAUUCCGUGUGUAGCGGUGAAAUGCGUAGACAUACGGAGGAACACCAGUGGCGAAGGCGGCCUGCUGGACAUUAACUGACGCUGAGGCGCGAAAGCGUGGGGAGCAAACAGG